AGAGUUUGAUCCUGGCUCAGAAUGAACGUUGGCGGCGUGGAUUAGGCAUGCAAGUCGUACGGUAAGCUUCGGCUUAUAGUGGCGAAAGGGAGAGUAACGCGUGGUUACAUGCCCUCGGGACCGGGAUAGCGGCGGGAAACUGCCGGUAAUACCGGAUAAUAUCUUUGGAUCAAAGGUGUGAUUCCGCCCGAGGAUUGGACCGCGUUCUAUUAGCUUGUUGGCGGGGUAAUGGCCCACCAAGGCGACGAUGGAUACCGGGUGUGAGAGCAUGGCCCGGCUCACUGGGACUGAGACACUGCCCAGACACCUACGGGUGGCUGCAGUCGAGAAUCUUCGGCAAUGGGGGCAACCCUGACCGAGCGACGCCGCGUGCGGGACGAAGGCCUUCGGGUUGUAAACCGCUGUCAGUUGGGAGGAAGUGCCGGGGGGUUCUCCCCUCGGUUUGACCGAUCUUCAGAGGAAGGACGGGCUAAGUUCGUGCCAGCAGCCGCGGUAAGACGAACCGUCCAAACGUUAUUCGGUAUCACUGGGCUUAAAGCGUGCGUAGGCGGCCUGGUAGGUGAGGUGUGAAAGCCCACGGCUCAACCGUGGAAUUGCGCUUCAAACCACCAGGCUGGAGGAUGGCAGGGGUGAUGGGAACUGAUGGUGGAGCGGUGAAAUGCGUUGAUAUCAUCAGGAACACCGGUGGCGAAGGCGCAUCACUGGGCCAUUUCUGACGCUGAGGCACGAAAGCUAGGGUAGCGAACGGGAUUAGAUACCCCGGUAGUCCUAGCUGUAAACGAUGAGCACUGGGUUGAGGGGACCUCCACAUCUUCUCGGCCGUAGCGAAAGCGUUAAGUGCUCCGCCUGGGGAGUAUGGCCGCAAGGCUGAAACUCAAAGGAAUUGACGGGGGCUCACACAAGCGGUGGAGGAUGUGGCUUAAUUCGAGGCUACGCGAAGAACCUUAUCCUAGACUUGACAUGCUUAAGAAUCUUCUGGA
Molecule: ribosomal RNA, 980 nt
Filed under: uncultured bacterium
Lineage: Bacteria
Description: bacterial SSU rRNA
Rfam family: Bacterial small subunit ribosomal RNA
Source: RNAcentral